GGGUUGUGAGGUUAAGCGACUAAGCGUACACGGUGGAUGCCUAGGCAAUCAGAGGCGAUGAAGGACGUGCUAAUCUGCGAUAAGCGUCGGUAAGGUGAUAUGAACCGUUAUACCCGACGAUUUCCGAAUGGGGAAACCCAGUGCAAUCCGUUGCACUAUCGUUUGAUGAAUACAUAGUCAAACGAAGCGAACCGGGGGAACUGAAACAUCUCAGUACCCCGAGGAAAAGAAAUCAACCGAGAUUCCCCUAGUAGCGGCGAGCGAACGGGGAGCAGCCCAGAGUCUUAAUCAGCAUUAGUAUCAGGAGAACGGUCUGGAAAGUCCGGCAGUAAAGGGUGAUAGCCCCGUAUCUGAAGAUAUUAGUGUUGUGAACUCGACGAGUAGGGCGGGACACGUGUUAUCCUGUCUGAAUAUGGGGGGACCAUCCUCCAAGGCUAAAUACUCCUGAU
Molecule: ribosomal RNA, 449 nt
Filed under: Vibrio parahaemolyticus
Lineage: Bacteria; Pseudomonadati; Pseudomonadota; Gammaproteobacteria; Vibrionales; Vibrionaceae
Description: partial 23S ribosomal RNA
Rfam family: Bacterial large subunit ribosomal RNA
Source: RNAcentral